CAGCAGCUCAGUGUAAGAGUGCUUGCCUAGUAUGCAAAGGGCUCUGAGUUUAAUUCUCAGUGCUGG
This 66-nucleotide transfer RNA is filed under the name Mesocricetus auratus (golden hamster). Lineage: Eukaryota; Metazoa; Chordata; Mammalia; Rodentia; Cricetidae. The record is from Rfam by way of RNAcentral.